Molecule: long non-coding RNA, 1046 nt
Organism: Pygocentrus nattereri (red-bellied piranha)
Lineage: Eukaryota; Metazoa; Chordata; Actinopteri; Characiformes; Serrasalmidae
Exons: 3
Source: RefSeq, a predicted model, not a curated record
UGUCUGCUAUGUAGAAUGUUUAUCAAAAAGGGUCUAUAUGGCACAAUCUACAGCACAUUCUGAAGAACUCUUUCAUGAUGCAAAAAAGCCCUUUAAUCAUGCAAAGGGUUGUUAAAUUGUUCAUGGUUCUUUUUAGAACAAUUUUCCUUACUAAAGAACCCUUGAAGAACCAUCUUUUUUGAAGAGUGUGGAGCUAAAAUCUUGUGGUUUUGAAACCUGUCAAGACUAUAAAAAGCUACUCUUUAGUCUGGGUUUUUAGCCUUGCCCUCUGGUCCCAGACAAGACCCCAAACUUCUCAGAAGGUCACAACAUAUCUUCUCAAAAGGUUCUCAGAAAGUCACAACUUAUCACCACUCACUAACAUUUCAUUCUGUGCUGCCAGCAUAUCUAGACAGUCUCAGUCCUGGUCUGUGGAGGAGAGAGAUCGACCUCUGCCUUCUACUCUCCACCCAGUGGGAACUGAGACAACGACAUCCCAGCAGCAGCUCUCACACCCCAGUAUCUGUCUCUGAAGAGCCUCCUGGGAACCACUUGGCAGCUUGAUUUUAAGCACUACUACCAAAGCCACUUGCAUGGGGCAUGAAGUUGCCAGUCAAAGUAAGCAGUGCUUGCUCAUGUUGAGCGAUGAAACACAUCAGACGGCUUGGUAUGCACUGACGGGACAACGGCAAUACUUUGCAAAGACAAGGUUCAAACAGACAGGGAAUCAAAAGUGGUUCUUCUAGGGCAUGGAACCAAUGGUGCAGAGCAAAAACACCACAUUUGGGUUUGAGGAACACGACCAGAUCUCAACUUGUGUACCAGAAAGGAAUCGUUGCAUGAUGUUAUAGAAGGACUACCUUUGGUUUUAUAAAAACCUUUCAGUAGAUAGCUUAAAGAACCUAAUGGUACAUAAGGCUUCUAGAAACAGCUCAAGCAUCUGGUUUUCAAAGUUGGUCCUUUUAAGGAACCAAAAAUGGUUCUUCUAUGGCAUCAUUUUGUGAUUUAAAAAAUGAUUUUUUGUAGUGUAUACAAAAUGACAUCUCAAUAAACAUCUCUGACACAAA